Molecule: ribosomal RNA, 429 nt
Filed under: Bacteroidota bacterium
Lineage: Bacteria; Pseudomonadati; Bacteroidota
Description: Bacteroidetes bacterium partial 16S ribosomal RNA
Rfam family: Bacterial small subunit ribosomal RNA
Source: RNAcentral
UAGGGAAUCUUCCGCGAUGGACGCAAGUCUGACGGAGCAACGCCGCGUGAGUGAAGAAGGAUUUCGGUUCGUAAAACUCUGUUGUUAGAGAAGAACAGCGCAUAGAGUAACUGUUAUGCGUGUGACGGUAUCUAACCAGAAAGCCACGGCUAACUACGUGCCAGCAGCCGCGGUAAUACGUAGGUGGCAAGCGUUGUCCGGAUUUAUUGGGCGUAAAGCGAGCGCAGGCGGUCAAUUAAGUCUGAUGUGAAAGCCCCCGGCUCAACCGGGGAGGGUCAUUGGAAACUGGUUGACUUGAGUGCAGAAGAGGAGAGUGGAAUUCCAUGUGUAGCGGUGAAAUGCGUAGAUAUAUGGAGGAACACCAGUGGCGAAGGCGACUCUCUGGUCUGUAACUGACGCUGAGGCUCGAAAGCGUGGGUAGCAAACAGG